GUGAGAUACCUUCCUCCAGAUAAUGGCCUUCCAAAAAACACUUGUCGUCCUGGUGUUUCUCCUGCUGCUUGUUAACACUGAGUUUUCCAAAGCUCAAAUGACCGGACAUUUUGAACACAGAUUAAACAGUAAUGCAGAGGGAAUUUCUUCACAGGAAAAUAUGAGCGAAAGUCUGAGAAGCAGAUUCCGACGACACAACAGAUGGCGAGCUGCCCAAAAGGAACGAGCACUCCCAGCAAUGAUCCAUCGGAAGGAAUUCAGUCUGCCAGAAACUUCAGUCAGACAGACAGACUGAACGACAUACUUUAUGGAUCCCGAAGGAAAUUGGGUCUCGUUACAUUCAUACUAAGCAGGAAUUGUGUAGAAAUAUAGCAAUAUUUAACCAGAAAUAAUUAAAUAAUUAUAAAUUAUGCCAAGUAGAAAUAAUCAGUGAUUCAUAGUCACUUUAUUUGUGACAACAUUAAUUCGUCAUGAGCUAAGUACUGUCUCUGUUAUAGUCUAUUCGUUUACUCUAUUAAUAAUUCAUAUUACAUUUCAAGCAAGGUAAAGGUGCAGAAGGAGGCCAUUCGACCCAUUGAGUCUGCUCUGCCACUCCACCAUGAGCUGAACUAUUCUCCCAUCUAGAUCCAAUUUCCGACUUUUUCCCCAUAUCCCUUGAUACACUGACUAAUUAGAUACCUAUCAAUCUCCUCCUUAAGCACCUUCAAUGAUUGGGCCUCCACACUGUAUGUGGCAACGAAUUCCAU
Hypanus sabinus (Atlantic stingray) is the source of this 746-nucleotide long non-coding RNA. RefSeq lists it as uncharacterized. The transcript has 3 exons. Lineage: Eukaryota; Metazoa; Chordata; Chondrichthyes; Myliobatiformes; Dasyatidae. The record is from RefSeq and is a predicted model, not a curated record.